GUAUUCAAAGUCAGCACUGCUGCUAUAUUGAACCGCGUGAUGCAGGUGAGACGGCCAGAGGCAUUCCACUUGUUCAUAUUAUGUGUCCAUGGAGCAUUGUGGAGAAACAACCAGAGUCCAGAUUUGGUGGGACCUGAUCCUUGGGAGGGAAGGCGGGAUAUUUCCACAAGAAUACCUGUUUAUCCCGCUUGGACUCAGUGUAUUACAAUAGACUGGGGUCAUAACUGGAACUAAUUAGGUAUUCGUGUGGCCAUAUCUUUGAUCUAUACAAACUAUUCCAUGUCAAAUUUAAUUUGAGGAUUGUUUACAUCAUGUGCUAUGCCUAUGGUCAUGGUUAUGAAAAGGCUGAAAUGCAAAUCAAACUUGUCAGCUUCAUCACAAUUUUAGUACUCUAUUACAAAGAGAGGCUAAUUUUCAAGCACAAUUAUGUUGAUGUAGAUGGUGCAUUGUGUUAAAGAUCUAUGCCAUUUUAGUUAAUAUUAGUAACUCCUUUGGAUUUAUUUUGAUGUCUAUGGUGUAACUGCUGUUUCGUCUAUACUACAAUUGGUCCAAUGCCCACUUAGUCUAAUCUUCAUUUAGUCUAAUGCCAAAAUUGUCUCAUUUGCACUUAAUCUACUAAGUUAUUUUGCACUUUGUCAUACUUGGUUCAUAAUAAUAUGCUAAUGUGAUGUUGGACCAAGUGGAUAUUACACUGCAUUGAUAAUUAGACAAAGUAGUUAUUGGGCUGAAUGACAAUAUAGACCAAAUGGUUAGUAGACAAGUUGGUUGGAGAUGAAAUAGGAUUAAUCCAUGUAAGAUAUGAGCUAACAUAAAAGGAAAGAAAGAAGUUAUAUUCCUCUGUGGCAGUGAAGCAAUAAGCUUACAUGCCCCCAAUUACUUACUUUUUGUUUCUAAUAUUUGAACUGAAAACAGGAUGGUUGCCAAACAUUGUCAGGAAAUAUGUUGGGGGAUUUCCUCUAAUUUCAGAGUUCCAUUCAUCAAAAAGUAUCAUGGAUGAAGUAAAUUGAUGUAUUGUUAGCACAACUCCUUUCCUGUAUUUUUGACCUAUAAACAAUUUCAGGAUUUUGACUUCCUGUGCGUGGGUAUAAUAGCUCAAUUGAGGAAAACAUUAUCUGUCUGUCUUGGAAAGAUUUGAACAUUAUUUUUCAAGGCCAGUCAGAAUCUGCCCCAAUAAUGACCUCCAUUACUAAUUAUACAUUGUUUGUUGGUUUUAUAUGAUACUUAUUCAGUUUUUGUGGGCAUUUUCCCUUUUUACAGGGGAGGGGGGGGGGGGGCUCAACUCAAGUUUUGCAAUUUUGUUUUCCCUUGUUUCGAAACUCUUGUUCGAAUAUUUUAUCUAAUGAUGUUUAUUUCAAAGCAUAUCCCCAUCUCCCAAAGAAGAAGAAAAAAAAAUGUGACAGUCAAGUAAUGUGAAUUUGAUAAUCAUUUGGUAUGCUGCACUAUAUUGUACAUCUCAUGUUUCCUUUCCUAUUACCCAUUAAUUAAUUUUCAGUAGCUAUAUUACAAAUCUAAACUUUUCACCGAUCAGGAAUCUCAGCUUGCAUCUUAUUAGUCUUAUCAUAUCCAUGCUAUAUGCAAUUUAUGGGGGAAACUUUUUUUAGUUAAUCUAUGUUGAAUAUGCAUACCAUGGUAGUCGGUUAAGUUUAGAAAAAUAAAUUAUGUUGGCAUAUCAUUCUAAAGUUACAAGGUUUGUUUUGAGAAAAGUAGGUAAAUAAAUAUGAAAUAAAUUGGUAUAGACUGAUUCAUUUUAAGGAUUACUUAAGUUUUUAUAGAUAUUGGAAGCAAUUUCCAACUAUUUGACAGCAUGGAUUGUGUUUGAUUUCUGAUUUUUUUGUCAUGUUUGUUGAAAUGUUCUUUUUUGCCUGAACCACCAUUUUGCAGAAUAAUGCCUUGGAAAUCAGUGUUUUUUGACAACUUGACUGUAAUAUUCAAUUCAGAUUGCAUAUAUGAGAAAUGCCUUGAUAAUUGUUAAUGUAACUGCCUUGCUACAAUAUAUUGAAAUGAAUUUAUACCAAGUGAUCCAGACCUUGCAUUAAAGAGUCUGAAAGUUUAGAGUCCAAGAGAGGAGUAGGGAUUGUGUUCUGUUCCUGUAAAAAGUAAAAUAUGCUAGUUUUGUGUCAAGACCACCUUGUUAACUAAAGUGUAAAUUAGGGUCUGUGCCUCCAGACUACCAAGACUCCCAGUAAUAUUUAAGUUGAUGAAAUUAAUUACUUGUAACCAUGAAAGUCCUACUUUUUUAGCAUUUGUUAUCAAACCCAUUUUGUCUUCUGUUGCUUACUUUGUUGAGCUACAUGUAUUGCUAUAGGUUUAUUGAUUCAACUUUAUAUUUUUAAGUGCACAUGAAAUGUAUGUUGGUAUUUGUUGUCCAUGCAUAUUUCCCUAUGUUGAGCAGUUUUUCAAAUAACUUUAACCAACCUCUGUAUUGUGGAGGAUACAUGUCAUAAUUGUCUGAUAUCUUCAAUUGUUUUUAAUCUCAUUUGGGUGAUUUGAAGCCCCCUUUUUUAUAAAUUGAACUUUCUUUUCAUCUACUUAAAAUUAUAUCCCUUUGCAUUUUUGCAGAGAGAUUUUCAUUCUCCUUUAACUUUUGCCAUCAUGUCUUUUCAAUACUAUGUACAUGUAUCUUUAUUACACAUAAUAUUAUUGGUUUAUAUCUGUGUGUACUGUAUGUUUUUCAUAGAAUUGUGAAAAUCUAAUUAUUUCAAGGCUUCCAUUAUUUGGAUGGAUUACAAAUAAAUGUGUCUUUAAUGAAGGGAUUAAAAUAGAAAAA
This 2767-nucleotide long non-coding RNA is filed under the name Lytechinus variegatus (green sea urchin). Its description in RNAcentral is "uncharacterized LOC121432036". Lineage: Eukaryota; Metazoa; Echinodermata; Echinoidea; Temnopleuroida; Toxopneustidae. The record is from RNAcentral.